CUUCUGCUGUGAUGAAAGAUGAAUAAAAAAUAAUGCACAUGUCAGACUUCGGAGAAUUACAUCAUUGAGAAGAAACACUCAAAACUCUCAGCAGAAG
Molecule: non-coding RNA, 97 nt
Organism: Eucalyptus grandis
Lineage: Eukaryota; Viridiplantae; Streptophyta; Magnoliopsida; Myrtales; Myrtaceae
Source: Rfam